GACGAACGCUGGCGGCGUGCUUAACACAUGCAAGUCGAACGGAAAGGCCCUGCUUUUGUGGGGUGCUCGAGUGGCGAACGGGUGAGUAACACGUGAGUAACCUGCCCUUGACUUUGGGAUAACUCCAGGAAACUGGGGCUAAUACCGGAUAGGAGCUCCUGCUGCAUGGUGGGGGUUGGAAAGUUUCGGCGGUUGGGGAUGGACUCGCGGCUUAUCAGCUUGUUGGUGGGGUAGUGGCUUACCAAGGCUUUGACGGGUAGCCGGCCUGAGAGGGUGACCGGCCACAUUGGGACUGAGAUACGGCCCAGACUCCUACGGGAGGCAGCAGUGGAGAAUAUUGCACAAUGGGCGGAAGCCUGAUGCAGCAACGCCGCGUGCGGGAUGACGGCCUUCGGGUUGUAAACCGCUUUCGCCUGUGACGAAGCGUGAGUGACGGUAAUGGGUAAAGAAGCACCGGCUAACUACGUG
Molecule: ribosomal RNA, 468 nt
Filed under: uncultured bacterium
Lineage: Bacteria
Description: partial 16S ribosomal RNA
Rfam family: Bacterial small subunit ribosomal RNA
Source: RNAcentral